Molecule: ribosomal RNA, 401 nt
Filed under: uncultured bacterium
Lineage: Bacteria
Description: bacterial SSU rRNA
Rfam family: Bacterial small subunit ribosomal RNA
Source: RNAcentral
GACGAACGCUGGCGGCGUGCUUAACACAUGCAAGUGGAGCGACGAACCAGGGCUUGCCCUGGGGCAAAGCCGCGAACGGGUGAGUAACACGUGGGUAACCUGCCCCGAUGACCGGGACAACCCGAGGAAACUCGGGCUAAUACCGGAUGAGCUCACGCCACAUCAGUGGCAUGAGGAAAGGAAGCUUCGGCCUCCGCAUUGGGAUGGGCCCGCGGCCCAUUAGCUUGUUGGUGGGGAAAGGCCUACCAAGGCUUCGAUGGGUAGCUGGUCUGAGAGGACGAUCAGCCACACUGGGACUGAGACACGGCCCAGACUCCUACGGGAGGCAGCAGUGGGGAAUCUUGCGCAAUGCGCGAAAGCGUGACGCAGCAACGCCGCGUGCGGGAAGACGGCCUGGUCGU